Molecule: ribosomal RNA, 236 nt
Filed under: uncultured bacterium
Lineage: Bacteria
Description: partial 16S ribosomal RNA
Rfam family: Bacterial small subunit ribosomal RNA
Source: RNAcentral
CGGCGGACGGGUGAGUAACGCGUAGGAAUCUGCCCGGUAGUGGGGGGACAACAGUCGGAAACGACUGCUAAUACCGCAUACGCCCUAAGGGGGAAAGCAGGGGAUCUUCGGACCUUGCGCUAUCGGAUGAGCCUGCGUCGGAUUAGCUUGUUGGUGGGGUAAUGGCCUACCAAGGCGACGAUCCGUAGCUGGUCUGAGAGGAUGAUCAGCCACACUGGGACUGAGACACGGCCCAG